This 126-nucleotide precursor RNA is filed under the name Ammopiptanthus mongolicus. RNAcentral's name for it is "precursor microRNA". The stretch from base 21 to 109 matches the Rfam family "mir-156 microRNA precursor family". From Rfam's summary of the family: This family represents the plant microRNA (miRNA) precursor mir-156. Lineage: Eukaryota; Viridiplantae; Streptophyta; Magnoliopsida; Fabales; Fabaceae. The record is from RNAcentral.
GGAGAUUAAGGGUAAGGGAGGUGACAGAAGAGAGUGAGCACACAUGGUACUUUCUUGCUUGAUGAUGUUUCAUGCUUGAAACUAUGCGUGCUCACUCUCUCUCUGUCACCCCAUCACCAUAUCUCU